This is a long non-coding RNA of Silurus meridionalis, 1485 nucleotides long. RefSeq lists it as uncharacterized. NCBI's taxonomy places the organism in Eukaryota, Metazoa, Chordata, Actinopteri, Siluriformes, Siluridae. The record is from RefSeq and is a predicted model, not a curated record. The transcript is spliced from 3 exons.
CAGAUCAAAUGAAGGGCAUUUAUAUUUGUACUUACACAACAUAUAAAACACAUCAGUCCAAUCUUCUAGAUACCUUGCACAAGUCAGUUCUGUAUCUAAAAUUAUUAUCCAAUGCAGCUUGCUAUAACUACAUAUUCAAAAGUUCUUAAAUAAAAGCUGGUGUCCUGAGUUUUAAGCACAACAUACUGUAGAAUUUGAUAUUUCUGACCUCAAGCCUACAAACUUUUCAAGCUCCAACAUGCUGUGUACCCAUGCAAAUGGCCCAAACUUUCAGGAAAAACCAGUUCAUUGAUAUUAACAUAGGCGAGCCAAAAACACGAGUUCCUCAUGAGAAACUGAGACAGAGGUUAUACAGCACAUCCUGUCCCACAGAAACAAGAUGUUCCUUUUGUAAAAAAUGUACACAAUAAAACGGUACACGUUCGCAAUUAACAGUGUACAAUCUGCUGACACGAAUCGGUGUUCUUUGGUUUUAUUUUUUGCAUUCUGAUUUUACAUGCUCUGACUCCCUAAAAGAAGACUACUAUCACGAUUUAAAAAAAGAAAGAAAGAAAAAAAAAGAGGAAACAGUGGUGACAUUAAAUUUCAGUUGCUUAACAGUAGAAAGAACAUGUCUGGACCAAUAAGAUUUUGCCAACAAUGUACUGUAACAUACUAAAAGUUAAAAACAAAAACAUGGAAAAAAAAUAAAAUAAAAAAUAAUAAAAGGAAGGAAAGUCUAGUGACAAAUGUAUAAAGAAAGAGAGGUUAAGUACUAAUAAAAAAAAAAAAAAAAGUCCAGCAUAUUCAACAAACUUUGACUAAUAAGUCACUAAGUAUAACCAGCCACAAUCAUUUCUUAGAAGAAUGAGCUACAGUGUGUUUUCCUGGAAAGAGAUUGUGUUGUUAAGAGCUACAUCUGCUCAGUGUGUUCGAUCCUCACCUAAUCCUUUCUAAUUUAAAAAGUUGAGAAAGAAAAUAAAGGAAAAACCAAACAAAAAAGAGUAUAGUGUUUGCUAUACACAAGAAUAGCUAAUAAAACUAAAGGCAUAAUUAACUACUAGCUUCUUAAUGAUCCUAGAAAUUUAAAUCUAAAACAUGCAUGAACAAUCCAUCGUUAAUAUCUGUAAAAACCCUUAAUGGAAUGUGUGUUUCAUUUUCAUGUUUGGCUGAAAGGAACUGGAUUGCUUUAUAUGCCCUUUCCCUCGAACACUUUCUGUUUCUAUUUCUCAUGAUCUUGAGUAUAUUGAGCUUUACAUUCAUGCUUUCACUUUCAAACCUGGAAGACUACAGGACCACUACACACUGCUCGCACUUGACCUUGGUUGCUUUUGGAUCAAGCUGAAAACCACAUUCCAGGAAUGUGGGUCUCAGUUAUUCUGAUCGAGGUUCAAAUGGUCUACAUGACCAUUCUUGAUUGAUGCAUGGCAUCAUGGGUAAAGGCAUGCAGGCACAAUAUCAACAUCAAUAUUGAAUUAAUAAAGCAGAAGUAUGCUGUGUGCUUUA